RNAcentral lists this ribosomal RNA (466 nucleotides) under uncultured bacterium. RNAcentral describes it as "partial 16S ribosomal RNA". It matches the Rfam family "Bacterial small subunit ribosomal RNA", at positions 339 to 795 of the family's 1533-position model. The record is from RNAcentral.
CUACGGGGUGCUGCAGACGAGAAUAGUCUACAAUGGGGGAAACCCUGAUAGUGCGACGCCGCGUGAACGAAGAAGCUUUUCGGAGUGUAAAGUUCUUUUCUGUAUGAGCAAUGCUUUAUUGUUUAAGAGAUAAUAGAGAGAGAUAUUAGUACAGGAAUAAGCCACGGCUAACUCCGUGCCAGCAGCCGCGGUAAUACGGGGGUGGCAAGCGUUGUCCGGAAUUACUAGGCGUAAAGGGCAGGUAGGCGGAUAUUCAAGUCAGGCGUUAAAGGCAUCAGCUCAACUGGUGUACGGCGUUUGAAACUGGAUAUCGUGAGUCAGGUAGAGGUAGAUGGAAUUCCUAGUGUAGCGGUGGAAUGCGCAGAGAUUAGGAAGAACACCAAAGGCGAAGGCAAUCUACUGGGCCAUGACUGACGCUAAACUGCGAAGGUGUGGGUAUCAAACAGGAUUAGAUACCCGUGUAGUC